RNAcentral lists this ribosomal RNA (1521 nucleotides) under Rubrivivax sp. Its description in RNAcentral is "partial 23S ribosomal RNA". It matches the Rfam family "Bacterial large subunit ribosomal RNA", at positions 1 to 1470 of the family's 2925-position model. The record is from RNAcentral. Lineage: Bacteria; Pseudomonadati; Pseudomonadota; Betaproteobacteria; Burkholderiales; Sphaerotilaceae.
AAUCAAGCUACUAAGAGCGCAUGGUGGAUGCCUUGGCGCUAAGAGCCGAUGAAGGACGUGGUACACUGCGAUAAGCCUCGGGGAGCCGUGUGCAGGCGUUAUAUCCGGGGAUUUCCGAAUGGGGAAACCCGCUUGAGGGGGGCAACCUACCUCGGGCACCGCCGGUUGAACACAUAGACCGGUUGGGGGAAACGCGGGGAACUGAAACAUCUUAGUACCCGCAGGAAAAGAGAGUAUUCCCUGAGUAGUGGCGAGCGAAAGGGGAACAGCCUAAACCGGCGUUGCUGAGUGGUCUGCAGACCUAUGCGACGCGGGGGUUGUAAGGCCCGACAUGGACCUCUGCAGAGGCCCGGGGAGUUAUCAAUCUGAGUCUUAGCCGAAUCGUUCAGGAAAGCCGAACCAGAGAGGGUGAUAGUCCCGUAGGCAAAAAGAGAUCAGACUCCCGUCGGUGACCUUGAGUACCACGGGACACGAGAAAUCUUGUGGGAAGCAGGGAGGACCACCUCCCAAGGCUAAAUACUCUUAGCGACCGAUAGUGAACAAGUACCAUGAGGGAAAGGUGAAAAGAACCCCGGUUAGGGGAGUGAAAUAGAAUCUGAAACCAUGCGCUUACAAGCGGUCGGAGGGCUAUGCCCAGCUACGGCUGGGAAGGCCUGACGGCGUGCCUUUUGGAGAAUGAACCGGCGAGUUACUCUCUGUAGCAAGGUUAAGCCAGUGACAGGCGGAGCCGUAGCGAAAGCGAGUCUGAAUAGGGCGUCAAGUUGCAGGGAGUAGACACGAAACCAGGUGAGCUACCCAUGGCCAGGCUGAAGUGAGACUAACCUCUCAUGGAGGGCCGAACCUUUCGCUGUUGCAAAAGCGUGGGAUGAGCUGUGGGUAGAGGUGAUAUGCCAAACGAACUUGGAGAUAGCUUGUUCUCCCCGAAAUAGCUUUAGGGCUAGCCUCAUGCGUUCAGUAUCGGAGGUAGAGCACUGGAUGGGCUAGGGGGCACAUCGCUUACUGAACUCAACCAAACUCCAAAUGCCGAUACUUAAAGCGUGAGAGUCGGACUAUGGGAGAUGAGUUUCAUAGUCGAGAGGGAAAGAACCCAGACCGCCGGCUAAGGUCCUCAAGUACAGGCUAAGUGGGAAACGAUGUGGGACUGCUCGGACAGCCAGUAGGUUGGCCUAGAAGCAGCCACCCUUUAAAGAGUGCGUAAUAGCUCACUGGUCAAGCGGUCCUGCGCGGAAAAUGUAACGGGGCUAAGCCUGACACCGAAGCCACGGGUCCUGCGCAAGCAGGAUGGUAGGGGAGCGUUCUGCGGGCAUAGAAGCUGUACCGAAAGGAGCAGUGGAGCGCGCAGAAGUGAGAAUGCCGGUAUGAGUAGCGAGAAACACGUGAGAACCGUGUUCGCCGUAAGUCUAAGGUUUCCGACGGAAGGUUAAUCCGCGUCGGGUUAGGCGGGCCUAAGCCGAGGCCGAGAGGCGUAGGCGAUGGACAGCCGGUUAAUAUUCCGGCCCCACCUGAGAGGAGCGAUGGGGG